Molecule: long non-coding RNA, 1662 nt
Organism: Peromyscus maniculatus bairdii (prairie deer mouse)
Lineage: Eukaryota; Metazoa; Chordata; Mammalia; Rodentia; Cricetidae
Source: RefSeq, a predicted model, not a curated record
CGUUUUUGUGCAGGAGGAUGAAAAAUAAAUCUGACAAGAAUUCAGUGUCCUUAUAUAUCAAUGAAAAUUCUAGAGGUCUGGUGGUAUGGGAUAGAGAUAUCCUUCUAAGGUGAAGAAUAACUGAUUGCAUGUUAGUGCUCCUGCAACUAAAAGAAGGGCUCUGAAUUUUGAAGACAAUGCAUUUAUCACUUUGAGUGAGUUAUCCUAACCAGCAGUGAAGUGACCUAAAAGUCUGCUCAUUUUUGGUGGGGUCCACAACAGGAGAAGUUUCUGCUACAUAUCCUGAACCAGCUGCCUUGAUCAAACUGGAUGACCUUUUAAAGUCUCAGUUACACUGCCAUGUAGGUAGCAAUGCCUUGCAUAUCCAGGAGCAUUCUUCUAGAAGGCUUUGUAUACUUUAUGACAGCAUCCAUAGUGCUCCCAUAUCCAAGACGGACUCGUCCAGGAAUCAAGGGGGUAGAAGCGAGAGCAGCAGCACCCACAAUUAUCUCCACUGAUCUAGUAGCCAAAAUUGUGCUUCUUAUUCUUGUGGCUUUAUGCUGUUCAAAAGUCUUAGUUGUGAAACUCUUAGUUGGAACUCUUUCAUCAGAAGAACAACAGCGAUCAUGUUACUAAAGUUAAGGGUGCUGGCCAAACACUUUGGACUCUUCAUUCCUCUGAAUCUAUAGGUGGAGAACGAGCCUAUGAUGCUGGUUGAGGUGACUUAUCCUGGCUACCUUAGACAUAUUGGAAUGCUACCUCUGAGUGGAGGACGUACAUGGUGACCAGAGAGAAUUGACUUCCUGAAGUUGUCCUGCGAGUUUUACAUGUGUACAUGGCAGCCCACCAUGAGGUAGACAACUUUGCCUCAUCCCAAGUCCCUCCAUGAUGUUCUCCCUCAACACAGGACCAAAAUCAACAGAACCAGCCAACUGUGGAUGAAACCUCUAAGUCAUGAACCCAAGUUCUACCCAUGAGUGAACAAUUUAGUGGGGAGGAAAGAAGAAGAAAAAUAUUCAUGUUUGCGGAAAUGCGGUCACUGUCUUUUUCUCUACGACUGCCAAGAAAUGUGAUCUUGUAUGGAAACUUCCUUUCUCCCAGUGAGUGACAAGAAAUAUGAUCUUGUCUAUCAGAAGACAUGCCUGGAUUAGAAGACAAAAAACCAUUUGGCUCCAGUGCUGCUAAAUAUUACUUGAGAUAUGAAAAAGUGAUCCAACUUUCCUGGAACCUGUGUUUUCAAAUCAGCGAAAUUGGGCUUAUGUGUUUCUGCCUUGACUCUCUUAGAGUUGUUAAAAGGUCUAGAGAGAUGGCUCAGUGGUUAAGAGAACUUGCUGCUCUUCUGAAGGACCUGAGUUCUGCUCCUGACACUGACAGUGGAUGCUCCACAAUUGCCUGUAAACUCUAACUCCAGGGUCUCUGACACCCUCUGGUUUAUAUGGAUACUCACAUGCAUAUGACAUGCACACAGAGACAUGCACAUAAAAUAAAAACAAAUAUUGAAACAUUUGAAACAUGACUUGCUAAAAAUGAAAUCAUGAAAUUUGCAGGUAAAUAGAUACAAGUGGAAAAUAUACUGAGUGAGGUACCCCAGAUCCAGAAAGACAAAUGCUGCAUGUUCUCUCUUAUUUGUAGUUCCAAGCUCUGAAUCUUUAGAUUUGCAUAUACAAGAGGUAAUUGAAUAAG